This 253-nucleotide ribosomal RNA is filed under the name uncultured bacterium. RNAcentral describes it as "partial 16S ribosomal RNA". It matches the Rfam family "Bacterial small subunit ribosomal RNA", at positions 524 to 776 of the family's 1533-position model. The record is from RNAcentral.
UACAGAGGUCCCGAGCGUUGUUCGGAAUUACUGGGCGUAAAGGGCGCGUAGGCGGCCAUCUAAGUCAGACGUGAAAUCCCCCGGCUUAACCUGGGAACCGCGUCUGAUACUGGACGGCUUGAGUUUGGGAGAGGGAUGCAGAAUUCCAGGUGUAGCGGUGAAAUGCGUAGAUAUCUGGAGGAAUACCGGUGGCGAAGGCGGCAUCCUGGACCAACACUGACGCUGAGGCGCGAAAGCUAGGGGAGCAAACGGG